This is a transfer RNA of Oscillatoriales cyanobacterium, 72 nucleotides long. It matches the Rfam family "tRNA". From Rfam's summary of the family: Transfer RNA (tRNA) molecules are approximately 80 nucleotides in length. The record is from Rfam. Lineage: Bacteria; Bacillati; Cyanobacteriota; Cyanophyceae; Oscillatoriales.
GCCGAUGUAGCUUAGUGGUAGAGUAACCGAUUCGUAAUCGGUCGGUCGCGGGUUCAAAUCCCGCCAUCGGCU